ACUCCUACGGGAGGCAGCAGUAGGGAAUCUUCCACAAUGGGCGCAAGCCUGAUGGAGCAACACCGCGUGAGUGAAGAAGGGUUUCGGCUCGUAAAGCUCUGUUGUUAAAGAAGAACACGUAUGAGAGUAACUGUUCAUACGUUGACGGUAUUUAACCAGAAAGUCACGGCUAACUACGUGCCAGCAGCCGCGGUAAUACGUAGGUGGCAAGCGUUAUCCGGAUUUAUUGGGCGUAAAGAGAGUGCAGGCGGUUUUCUAAGUCUGAUGUGAAAGCCUUCGGCUCAACCGGAGAAGUGCAUCGGAAACUGGAUAACUUGAGUGCAGAAGAGGGUAGUGGAACUCCAUGUGUAGCGGUGGAAUGCGUAGAUAUAUGGAAGAACACCAGUGGCGAAGGCGGCUACCUGGUCUGCAACUGACGCUGAGACUCGAAAGCAUGGGUAGCGAACAGGAUUAGAUACCCUGGUAGGAUAGCG
RNAcentral lists this ribosomal RNA (473 nucleotides) under uncultured bacterium. Its description in RNAcentral is "bacterial SSU rRNA". It matches the Rfam family "Bacterial small subunit ribosomal RNA", at positions 335 to 801 of the family's 1533-position model. The record is from RNAcentral.